Molecule: ribosomal RNA, 397 nt
Filed under: uncultured bacterium
Lineage: Bacteria
Description: bacterial SSU rRNA
Rfam family: Bacterial small subunit ribosomal RNA
Source: RNAcentral
AUUGAACGCUGGCGGCAUGCCUUACACAUGCAAGUCGAACGGUAACGGGCCUUCGGGUGCCGACGAGUGGCGAACGGGUGAGUAAUGCAUCGGAACGUACCUUUCAGUGGGGGAUAACGUAGCGAAAGUUACGCUAAUACCGCAUAUUCUGUGAGCAGGAAAGCAGGGGAUCGCAAGACCUUGCGCUGAUUGAGCGGCCGAUGUCAGAUUAGCUAGUUGGUGAGGUAAAGGCUCACCAAGGCGACGAUCUGUAGCGGGUCUGAGAGGAUGAUCCGCCACACUGGAACUGAGACACGGUCCAGACUCCUACGGGAGGCAGCAGUGGGGAAUUUUUGGGACAAUGGGGGCAACCCUGAUCCAGCCAUGCCGCGUGAGUGAAGAAGGCCUCGGUUGUAAG